CCCUUCGGAGUAUCGAGUGGCGAACGGGUGAGUAACACGUGGGUGAUCUGCCCUGCACUUUGGGAUAAGCCUGGGAAACUGGGUCUAAUACCGAAUAGGACCACGNNNNNNNNNGNNNNUGGUGGAAAGCUUUUGCGGUGUGGGAUGGGCCCGCGGCCUAUCAGCUUGUUGGUGGGGUAAUGGCCUACCAAGGCGACGACGGGUAGCCGGCCUGAGAGGGUGACCGGCCACACUGGGACUGAGAUACGGCCCAGACUCCUACGGGAGGCAGCAGUGGGGAAUAUUGCACAAUGGGCGCAAGCCUGAUGCAGCGACGCCGCGUGAGGGAUGACGGCCUUCGGGUUGUAAACCUCUUUCAAUAGGGACGAAGCGCAAGUGACGGUACCUAUAGAAGAAGCACCGGCCAACUACGUGCCAGCAGCCGCGGUAAUACGUAGGGUGCGAGCGUUGUCCGGAAUUACUGGGCGUAAAGAGCUCGUAGGUGGUUUGUCGCGUUGUUCGUGAAAACUCACAGCUUAACUGUGGGCGUGCGGGCGAUACGGGCAGACUAGAGUACUGCAGGGGAGACUGGAAUUCCUGGUGUAGCGGUGGAAUGCGCAGAUAUCAGGAGGAACACCGGUGGCGAAGGCGGGUCUCUGGGCAGUAACUGACGCUGAGGAGCGAAAGCGUGGGGAGCGAACAGGAUUAGAUACCCUGGUAGUCCACGCCGUAAACGGUGGGUACUAGGUGUGGGUUCCUUCCUUGGGAUCCGUGCCGUAGCUAACGCAUUAAGUACCCCGCCUGGNGAGUACGGCCGCAAGGCUAAAACUCAAAGGAAUUGACGGGGGCCCGCACAAGCGGCGGAGCAUGUGGAUUAA
RNAcentral lists this ribosomal RNA (857 nucleotides) under uncultured bacterium. Its description in RNAcentral is "bacterial SSU rRNA". It matches the Rfam family "Bacterial small subunit ribosomal RNA", at positions 77 to 949 of the family's 1533-position model. The record is from RNAcentral.